This 967-nucleotide long non-coding RNA is filed under the name Vigna radiata. RNAcentral describes it as "long non-coding RNA (VRAD_LNC008271)". The record is from RNAcentral. Lineage: Eukaryota; Viridiplantae; Streptophyta; Magnoliopsida; Fabales; Fabaceae.
GAGUAGUGGGUUUGGAGCAGCUGAAGCUCCGAACACUGAGGAGGAGAACUUUGAGGACGAGGAUGAUGAGAGUCAAGAGGACUCCGAUGACAGCAUGGGCUGAUAGCAGACAUCUACUGAGGGAUGUCCAUAGACAGGAUUUAGUUUUUCUUUCUUUUAUUUUUUUUAUUUUUAUUUUUAUUUUAUUUUUUUGCAUUUUAAAUUCUUAGAAUAUGUUGAAUUUUUAUUUUGGUGUGUACUCUUGGGUUUAAUUCUUGUUCUGAAAAUGUUUGACAGACUGAUGUACAUGAAUGAGCUAUUUGAUGAUUAUUUGAUGUGGUUGAGAAUUGAGUUGCAAUGCAUGUUGAUAUUCUGUGAAAUAGAUGUGUGAUAAUUUAUGAUUGUGGUCAUGAUGCUAGGCAAGGUGCAUGAAUGAAUUUUGUGUGAGAAAGCAUGUGUGUGAGAUUUUGAGCUCCAGAGUUUUUAUUGAUGUAUGCAUUGUUCACAGGAAAACAUGAAUGAUAUUGCCUUAAUCUUGAUGAUGGAUUGAAUUGCAUGUGAAUGUCAUAUGAUCGAGGCCAUUUUUGAAAACCCUUCUCUAGCCCAAUUUUCACCCAAAGUGCUUGAAAUAUUAUUUCUUUUUUGAACCUUAGCCUCAAACAGUAUGUGAACCCUUGUUUUGAAAUUCUUUACCUUGAGUUGGGAUGAACUUAAUUGUAUGUGAUGAAAAGGUUCAAGUUUGGGGUUGUACGGGGGAAAAUUGAAAAAGCAAGUGAAAGGCAUUGAGCUCAAUUGUUAUGAAAAGAGAAAUAUUCAUGAGAAAAAGAAAAGAAAAGAAGAAAAGCAUGAAAAUGAGCUCAAUGAAAAAGAAAAGAAAAAGGAAGAAGUUGGGAAUGAGAGACAUUUGUGAGAGAGUUGUGCUUAAAUGUUGAAUAUUUUGUUAGCUCUCUUGACUCAAGGAUUUUGCAUUCUUGAAAAACCAAUUUUU